Myodes glareolus (Bank vole) is the source of this 4805-nucleotide non-coding RNA. NCBI's taxonomy places the organism in Eukaryota, Metazoa, Chordata, Mammalia, Rodentia, Cricetidae. The record is from RefSeq and is a predicted model, not a curated record.
UUCUGCCCCCUUGGUUUUCGAUACACAAAGGACUCGGUGUUUUUCUCAAGACUGCUUCUGCUGCCCACAGAUAUCCUGUUUUCAUCCUCUAGGCAGGUGCAGCUGGUCUUAAGACUGCUUCUGCCGCCCACAGAUAUCCUGUUUUGCUCUGGCCUGUUUGAUCAAAACAUCUUAAGAUGGAGACUAAGGUUGGGGUCUUUCAGUACCACUAAAACUUUUUUGUAAAGCAGUUAAGAAUGUCAUUCCAUUGCCUUUGACUGGCCUGCUGAAGGAUUGCUAUAAUACUUCUCUGCAUUUUCCUGUUAUUCUUUUGCUGGAGCAUCAUUGAAAGCCCAGAAGAGUCACCAAAAUCUUUCCAGUCUGGAUGGGUCUGAACCCAACAUCUCUCAGUACUGAGCUGCCUCGUACACGUUCGCUGUUCUCCAUGUCCCAGGGUUUGCUCUCUGCUGGUGCUCCAUGCUCUCUGCUGGUGCUCCAUGCCCUCUGCUGGUGCUCCAUGCUCUCUGCUGGUGCUCCAGAUUCUUCCAUGCACAAGAACAACUAGUGUCAGCCCAGGGCCUAAGAGGAAUUCUAAGUAGAAGUUUAAGCUCCUCUCCUGGCGGCACUGUCUCCUCCGAUAUUUAAACCCCUUCUGCUCAGACCUGUUCUCCUUACCCAGGGAGUCAAAUAAGUGGUCAAUUGCUAAAAAUUGUAAGCUUCCAGGGCAAACUACACACACACACACACACACACACACACACACACACACACGUGCGCGCGUGAGCAACUGUGUGCCUAACCAUAGAAUGUUCAUCACAAAACAUGGGCAUCAGAAAGCAGUGGAAGGAAAUUCUUCAAGAGUUAAAGAGAAGAAGGGAAACAGAGAAUGUGAUGUUUAUUGAGCCAAGUAAUUAGGUUUGUGCUUUCCGAGCUGUGGCUUCCAUCUCUUUAAUAUAUUCCAAAUCAAGAGUGGAUUGCAUUUAGAAUUUUUAUUGAAGGGAGGCAGCGGGCAUUGAACACAGAGUCUUGUGUGCAUACUAAGUAUAUUCUUCUGCACUGAGCUAUAGCCAGAGCCUCGGAGGAGUUUUCAAAACUAGAAGAGAAUGAAACAGAGCAUUGUCUAGGAAAUCAUCAGUGUGCGUCUUAAAUAUUCAGGAUCCUACCCCUCAAAAGAGGACUGGAUACGUUUGUAUGCAGUGUAAGUAUGAGUAUGUGGUCUAUAAACUGUCCAAAGAGUUGUCAGAAAAAUAUGUUAGGUAAUAGGAUAAGUUGCAAGGAACAGUGAGAUGACAGACAAAAGUGCAGAAACACGUGGUAAACCUAGCUUUCGUGCCAUCUUCCUAAUGGAAGUUCUGUUCAGAGGAGUAAAGCCACACCAGCCCACCUUCAAGCGGCCAUACACCUGAGCGUGUGGAUGUGGCUGACUUAAAGAAUAAGGGCUAAUGGUCUGCAAAGAAAUCAACUUUGAUGGGAAUGUCAGGGUAGCUCGAUGGCUAAGAGAGAAAAGAAUUAUAAACAAAACAGAAGGACGAAAAAGGAGAGUGUGUUAUCUGGAAUUCUGCACGGUAGGUGUUCUGCGUGCUCUUGCUGGGCUGUUCCGUGAGCCAUGCAGAUUAAAGGCUUGCUUUAUUUCUCUAUUCACAAGCACAUGUUUCAGGCCAGUGUUUUUUUUCCCAGGCUCUUUUUUUUAAGAAAGCAAAGAAACGUCGGUAUAUGUAUCUUAUCUCUUUGAAUCCCUCAUGUUUAUGUGUCUUUAACUAUAUAAUUUUCCCUCUCUUAACAUUUAGCUCAUAAAACCUUUCAGAAGAGGGACCAUCAUUGUUGCCAUAAUGAUGAUGAGGGAGUAUUCAGAGAUUUAGUAAUAAUAAUAAUAAUAAUAAUAAUAAUAAUAAUAAUAAUAAAAUAGUGAUUUCUUCACCUUUAUAUUUAUUCAGCAAAUACUCAAACGAUGCUUGCUAUGAGUUGAAUACUUCGGAGUAAACUUUUGAAAUACUAGAUUUUUAUCUCUCUAAAGACCCUAUCAAAUAGCUACAGCUAUUCUUAUUCCAUACAGAGGAACCAGAAGAAACUGGAGAUUAAAUUAUUUACUGCUGUGAGUGCAGAAAUCUAGACUUGUACCCCGACCAUAUGACUGUAUGGCCAGUGUGCUUACAAGACCCCUAUUCUCUACUCAUUUCUGUGCACCAGAGAAUAAUAGCCACUGCCUGGGAUCCCUCUUUUUACUUCAACUGUUAGUUUAAACCCGCCAUAUCUUAUUCAGAGUACUCAGCAUGAUGUCUCAAAUUUUGUCAGUGUGGUUUGCCCUUUGGGAUUUCUACCACAUUGUAAUUCAUCACUCCAAAGUCAGAGGAGUGUCUGCCUGUCCCAGCACCAUUCUCCUUUUGCCUUUUCCUCAGGGAACAUAAGGGAAGACAGGAGAUUAUAUUAUAGCACCAGCCUUUAAUUGACUCCAAUGUCCACUUAGAAUAAAAUGCCACUUGAUCCUGCUCCCAUGGUUCAAGUUAUUUGUCUCUUUGUGUGGAGCGGCAUCUCAUGACUUGUUACGUGAUUGACAGUUCUCACCUCCUCCUUCAUCUUCCUUCAGGUUGCAGGCAUUGCAGCAAGGAAGGAAAAGAAUAACAGUACUGAAGAUAAGAAUGCAGAAGAUGGGGGACUCUAGGGUUUGACUGGUUGUCAAUUAUAGUCAACUUGGUAACAAAAGCAUUAUGGACUAACUUGACUACAUGUUCUUUGAUUUUCAAAUCAUCCUAAAAUACUAAAAACAUCUUCAAAAUUUCAGAUAUCAAAUUUUGGUGCGGGAGAAUUAUCUGUAUCCUGUCAAUAUGUUUAUUUUGAAUAAAUGCUGAUUGACCAGGCAGGAAGUAUAGGUGGGUCAACAGACAAGAAGUAGAGACAGGGUGAUGAGAACAGGAGGAUGCUAGGAAGGAGGAAACCCAUUCCUCCCAUUGCUACCCAGAUCACUGAGAAACAAGAUGUAACCUGCCCAGCUGAGAAAGGUACCGAGCCAUGUGGCUAACAUAGAUAAGAAUAAAGGAUUAAUAUGAGCUACAAGAGCUAAUAAAAAGACUGAGCUAAUGGGCCAAUCAUUAUAACUUAAUGGAAGUCUCUGUAUGAAUUUCUUUGGGGCUUGUCAGCUGUGGGGUACUGGGUGGGACAGAAACCCCAACAAGCUGGCCUUCAUGUUACAAAAUUUCAAAUUGCUUAGAAGAUUUAUUGUGUAAAAAGACAAUGGCCAGGCCACACCUGACAGUAGUAUUCUUACCCACUAUUCCUAAAGCAACCAGUCAGGUCUGGGAAUCCAAUCUGUGCCUCUGGAGCAAUCAGUUCAGAAUGACCAGAAUGUGGUCUGUGAUUGACAGGUUCCUUGCUCAAACUCAGUACUAACAGGCAAAGCUAAGUACUCUUCCCAGACCUAUGCUCUAGAUGCACUCCUUGUUAGCCUGCCUCCCUGUCUGCAGCUGCAACCAGAACACACCUUUCUUACCCACAAAGCUUUCCCAUGCCUCUGCUUGCUUGAGUUCAAACCAGAUAGGAUGGACAGAGCUGACUAUUGCUAUAAUUCGGAAUUGAUGCCUAGUCUGCUUGCCCUCCUUAAAUAGCCAUUUAUUAAAUUCCUCCAUGUUUAAAGGAAAAUGUUUCCUCUUGCCCCAAUUUCUGAAAAAUUAAUUGCUGUAUCCGAUCCUUGUUUCCAGUGGAGUCUGUAGGCAUUUGUGCAGGGCUGCCUGUGUUAACGUCUGGAGAGCUGGACAGGUAGUUGACGCCGUCGAUGACGAUCUGAACAAGUUCCACCUUGACCGUGAGAAAGAGGCGCGGCCAUGAGGAGGAGGUGUGGUAGAGAAAGGAGAAGGAGAAAUGAUUAAUUUGAGCAGUAGGUGCCUGCAGACUCCCCAGAAUGUGAACUUGCCUCUUAGCAGGACUUUAUCACAUGAAAUCAGGGCACUUGUGGGAGGGGUGUCAUUCUGAGGCUGGGGCCAGAUGUGGAGAGGUGUCAUCCUGAGGCUGGGAUCAGAUGUGGAGAGGUGUCACCCUGAGGCUGGGGUCAGAUGUGGAGAGGUGUCACCCUGAGGCUGGGGCCAGAUGUGGAGAGGUGUCAUCCUGAGGCUGGGAUCAGAUGUGGAGGGUGUCACCCUGAGGCUGGGGCCAGAUGUGGAGGGUGUUAUCCUGAGGUUGGGGCCAGAUGUGGAGAUGGAGAUGGGGCUUAAGAUUUUCUCUCAAACCUUCCUUCGGGCGGGGCUGCUGGGAGAAUUUUAUACUUGAAAAUUAUUAGUUUUAAUUCCUUUCUUUUAAAAAAAUUGUGUCUCUGUGUGUGUGUGAGAGAGAGAGAGAGAAAGAGAGAGAGAGAGAGAGAGAGAGAGAGAGAGAGAGAGAGAACAGGCAUACGCAUGUCAGCAGAAGACAACUGGGCAGUCGAUUCUCCCAUUUUACCAUGUGUUCCCCAUGUACCUUUUUAUUUUAAAGAUUUGUUAUUGCUUUACUUAAUGUGCACACAUGUGUGCCAGCGUAAGAAUGUGUGCACUGCAUCCCUGCGGGUGCCCAUGGAGGCCAAAGGACCUUAGAUUCCCUGGAACUCGGCUUACAGAAAGUGUGAGCCACCAGCACUGGGAUCAGAUCCAGGGCCUUGCACCUGCCAGGCAAGAGCCUCACCGUGAAGGUACCGACCCCCCAUCAGUGCUGGAGAGGCAGCUCGGCGGUCAUGAGCACUUGCAGAGGCCCUGGGUUUGGUUCCCAGCAGCCACCGUGCUCACAAGCAUCUGUAACUCCAGUUUGGGGGCACUGAUGCCCUCUUCUCAAUCUCUGGGUCACUAAGAAUGCACUUAGUGCAUAUA